GAUGAAGAACGCAGCGAACUGCGAUAAGUAAUGUGAAUUGCAGAAUUCAGUGAAUCAUCGAGUCUUUGAACGCACAUUGCGCCCCCUGGCAUUCCGGGGGGCAUGCCUGUCCGAGCGUUAUUGCUGCCCUUCAAGCCCGGCUUGUGUGUUGGGUCGUCGUCCCCCCCGGGGGACGGGCCCGAAAGGCAGCGGCGGCACCGCGUCCGGUCCUCGAGCGUAUGGGGCUUUGUCACCCGCUCGAUUAGGGCCGGCCGGGCGCCAGCCGGCGUCUCCAACCUUCUAUUUUACCAGGUUGACCUCGGAUCAGGUAGGGAUACCCGCUGAACUUAAGCAUAUCAAUAAGCGGAGGA
This 350-nucleotide unclassified non-coding RNA is filed under the name soil metagenome. RNAcentral describes it as "partial contains 5.8S ribosomal RNA, internal transcribed spacer 2, and large subunit ribosomal RNA". The stretch from base 1 to 120 matches the Rfam family "5.8S ribosomal RNA", at positions 35 to 154 of the family's 154-position model. The record is from RNAcentral.